AUGCGCAAGAGGACAGAGAAGGCCCGACACAUGUAAAGUCGGAUCCAAGUAAUCCACCUACUGGUCAGACCCUCGUCUCUCUGUCCCUCAAUUGGCAACGACGCCCCUAAUUGCAGAGACCUGGAACCCAACAAAAAAAAAAAAAAAACUGACUGGUAGAGACCUAACAGCCAACACACCCGAAAAGAUAUAACAGAGACCCAAAAAACACAAAACUAAAAAACCCUCUUUCUUCCACUUCCUCUCUCGUAGUUACGAAAUUCCAAAUAUGUCCUCAUCCGAUUCCAACUCCUCCUCCGUUAACGAUCCCAACCCUAACCCCAAGCCUUUGGAUUACCAAUUCGAAACGCUAAACCUUGAGCAAGGAUCCGGUAGCACCAUCAUCCAAAAAGACGACGACGAAGAAGGAAGACAACAAGAUCAAGGCUCCUCUUUAAAUGGAUCGCUGAAUGUAAACAGUAAGAAUCACGAACAAGAUGACAGAAUUGGCCUCGUCAGGAGUGUAGUGUGGAGGCGGACGAACUCGGAGGUGGAAGUGGACGUGAACGGGCCUUCCAGCCCGAGCAGUAGUGGAUACGCCGGCGAGAGAGGGAGCAGUGGCGUCAGUGAGGAUGAUGAGAUACAGGAGGUUGCAAUUGAUAGUGCUUUCCAUGAGGUUUUUGAUUCACAAGCUGCCUGGUUGCCUGGCAAACGUCAUGUCGAUGAGGAUGAUGCUUCCAUAUCAUGGAGAAAAAGGAAGAAGCAUUUUUUUAUAUUGAGUCACUCUGGAAAACCAAUAUAUUCCAGAUAUGGAGAUGAACACAAGCUAGCAGGAUUUUCAGCAACACUGCAGGCCAUAAUUUCAUUUGUGGAGAAUGGGGGAGAUCGUGUCAAAUUGGUUAGGGCAGGAAAGCACCAGGUGGUUUUUCUUGUAAAAGGGCCAAUUUACUUGGUGUGCAUCAGCUGCACGGAACAGCCAUAUGAAUCAUUGAAGGGGGAAUUGGAGCUUAUUUAUGGUCAGAUGAUACUCAUUUUAACAAAGUCGGUUAAUAGAUGUUUCGAGAAAAAUCCGAAGUUUGAUAUGACUCCAUUGCUUGGAGGAACGGAUGUUGUCUUCUCAUCUCUCAUCCAUUCAUUUAGUUGGAAUCCAGCAACAUUUCUCCAUGCAUACACUUGUCUUCCCCUUGCUUAUGGAACGAGGCAAGCUGCAGGUGCUAUACUGCAUGAUGUUGCUGAUUCUGGUGUUCUCUUUGCAAUAUUAAUGUGCAAACACAAAGUUGUUAGUCUUGUUGGUGCUCAAAAAGCUUCGCUUCAUCCUGAUGACAUGCUGCUACUUUCCAACUUCAUAAUGUCUUCAGAAUCAUUUAGGACAUCUGAAUCUUUCUCGCCAAUUUGCCUGCCAAGAUAUAACCCAAUGGCAUUUUUGUAUGCUUAUGUUCAUUAUCUUGAUGUUGACACAUACUUGAUGUUGCUUACCACUAGUUCAGAUGCCUUUUAUCAUCUUAAGGAUUGCAGGAUUCGCAUUGAAAUGGUUCUUUUGAAGUCAAAUGUCCUUAGUGAAGUUCAGAGAUCCAUGCUGGAUGGUGGGAUGCAUGUUGAGGAUUUGCCUGCUGAUCCUUUGUCUCGUCCUGGAUCUACUUCUCAUUUUGGAGAGCAUCAGGAACUGACCGAUUCUCCUCGGAGAUUUAGGGAACCAUUUGCUGGGAUUGGUGGUCCCGCUGGACUUUGGCAUUUCAUAUAUCGUAGUAUCUAUCUGGAGCAAUAUAUAUCUUCUGAGUUUUCAGCACCAAUUAAUAGUCCACAACAGAAGAAAAGAUUGUACAGGGCUUACCAGAAACUUUACGCUUCGAUGCAUGAUAAAGGCAACGGGGCCCACAAAACACAGUUUAGAAGAGAUGAGAAUUAUGUUCUCCUCUGUUGGGUCACCCCAGAUUUUGAGCUUUAUGCGACAUUUGAUCCACUUGCAGACAAGGUUUGACAUUUUCUCAUGCAUGUUUAAGUUCUUCCUUUGUAUUCUAAAAACUGUAGACAACUAUAAAUUAUAAUCUACUAUCAAACAAGAUAUUUCUUCGUCACACCAGAUAAGCUUCCGGGAUCAUUAAUUGUGAAGGGCUGAAGGCCAAGCUCAUUAUUGUUUUGAUGUCCUCGUAAUUUGGAGGGUGACCUGUUCUCCAAAUUCCAAAUUGAUCUCGUGUAUUCUCAUUUUUUUCAUUAUUAUAUUCUUGUUUCAUUUAAAAUAUUUAAAAUACUUUAUCUUAAUUAUGUUGCCUUUGCAUUUGAUCAGACUAGAUCGUUCUGUUUGCCGCUCCUCUUAAAAUAACUCUGCAAAUGGAUUGCAUGGUCCUUCUUGGUAUAUUUUUGGCACAAUCUAGAUGCAAUGCUGACUUUUUA
This is an RNA transcript of Populus euphratica (Euphrates poplar), 2370 nucleotides long. It is a transcript of the gene named vacuolar fusion protein MON1 homolog A-like, with no coding region annotated. NCBI's taxonomy places the organism in Eukaryota, Viridiplantae, Streptophyta, Magnoliopsida, Malpighiales, Salicaceae. The record is from RefSeq and is a predicted model, not a curated record. The transcript has 14 exons.